This 438-nucleotide long non-coding RNA is filed under the name Setaria viridis. Its description in RNAcentral is "long non-coding RNA (SVIR_LNC006170)". The record is from RNAcentral. Lineage: Eukaryota; Viridiplantae; Streptophyta; Magnoliopsida; Poales; Poaceae.
UCGAGUUCAUGCAACUUGUUAAAUCUUCCAUUUCUACUUUCAACCUUUAUAGUCGACAGUCCCUGACCCUGAAUUUCUGACCAAACCUUCUCUUCAGAAGUUCAAAUUAAGUGAAUAUAUUUGUCCAUCUUUACCAUAUGUCUGAAUAAAAGGUAGGAGUUUGUAUCAAUGAAAAAAAAGCAGCAAUGAAUAAAAGUAGAGCCUUCUUGAUCUAAUCAUCAAUCCAUGCUGUACCAUUUCCUCGUCUCAAGGCACCCAUCCUCCAUAUAUGAAUCGACGGAAACAUCUGGUCUCGUCUCACCACUUCACAUCCCCCAGAUCACCAUCAUAUCCAUGCUAUGAUCGGCCCAUGAUUCUCUCAGGGUCCAUGCCCAAGUUAAUGCCCACGAGCAGCUCCUAUCAGCAGAUGAAGAAACACUAUGAAGAGAGACAGCUGCU